This 538-nucleotide unclassified non-coding RNA is filed under the name Hevea brasiliensis (rubber tree). Lineage: Eukaryota; Viridiplantae; Streptophyta; Magnoliopsida; Malpighiales; Euphorbiaceae. The record is from RNAcentral.
AACUAGGAUCUGUUUGUUCCAAACAUUGGAUGUCAGUGACUAAUGAAAUUUAAUUUGCGUGUAAGCACAAUUUCAUUCUGGUGUACCAUUUAUUUUUGAGACUCUAUCUCGGUUUUGGGGUGCCCACAAUAUGUUGAAUCAUAAUUCUAGUUUUACCAACUUGUUUUUGACUUUGUAACGGAUUUAAAAAUUUAGGGAAUACAACAUCAUUUGACAUUAAGUAAGGUUCGUCUCUACUGACCAACUCUCCUGCAUCUUUCAGAUUGACUAAUUAUCGCUUUUAAUUGUUGGGACAUUAGAUUCGGGAUAUAGUAGUAUUCAUGUUGGUCAUGUCACACACACUAGUGGAAGGGAGGGAGGGAUAUCAUGUGACAAGUGCUCUCCUAAAUAAAUUUUUAAGUUUUUUCUUGUAUUCAGGAUAAUAUAAACCUUUAACAUUAAUACCAAAAGCCCUUUUUCUAUGCCAAUGUUGUUUGGAAUUUCCUUCAUAUCUUUUUUUCUUCCAUGUUUGAAGUCCCAAAUGAGUAUUAGAAUGACA